GCCGUUUUAGCUCAGUCUGGCAGAGCACCGGACUUUUAAUCCGGGGGACGUGGGUUCAAGCCCCACAAUCGGCA
This 74-nucleotide transfer RNA is filed under the name Caudoviricetes sp. RNAcentral describes it as "tRNA-Lys". It matches the Rfam family "tRNA". Rfam says of the family: Transfer RNA (tRNA) molecules are approximately 80 nucleotides in length. Their secondary structure includes four short double-helical elements and three loops (D, anti-codon, and T loops). The record is from RNAcentral. Lineage: Duplodnaviria; Heunggongvirae; Uroviricota; Caudoviricetes.